AUUGAACGCUGGCGGCAUGCUUUACACAUGCAAGUCGAACGGCAGCACGGGCUUCGGCCUGGUGGCGAGUGGCGAACGGGUGAGUAAUAUAUCGGAACGUACCCAAGAGUGGGGGAUAACGUAGCGAAAGUUACGCUAAUACCGCAUACGAUCUAUGGAUGAAAGCGGGGGAUCGCAAGACCUCGUGCUCCUGGAGCGGCCGAUAUCUGAUUAGCUAGUUGGUGAGGUAAAGGCUCACCAAGGCGACGAUCAGUAGCUGGUCUGAGAGGACGACCAGCCACACUGGAACUGAGGCACGGUCCAGACUCCUACGGGAGGCAGCAGUGGGGAAUUUUGGACAAUGGGCGCAAGCCUGAUCCAGCAAUGCCGCGUGAGUGAAGAAGGCCUUCGGGUUGUAAAGCUCUUUUGUCAGGGAAGAAACGGUAGGGGCUAAUAUCCCUUGCUAAUGACGGUACCUGAAGAAUAAGCACCGGCUAACUACGUGCCAGCCGCCGCAGUAA
Molecule: ribosomal RNA, 500 nt
Filed under: uncultured bacterium
Lineage: Bacteria
Description: partial 16S ribosomal RNA
Rfam family: Bacterial small subunit ribosomal RNA
Source: RNAcentral